GGACUCGACUGAGCGGACGCAUAUUACCAUAUCGAAAGAUCGUAAUGUGAGGAAAGUCCGGACUCCACAGAGCAGGGUAACGGCUAACGGCCGCCGAGGGUGACCUCAGGGAAAGUGCAACAGAAAUAAACCGCCGAUUUUACGGUAAGGAUGGAAAGGCGAGGUAAGAGCUCACCGACGCGGGGGUAACUCCGCGUGCCAUGUAAACCCUAUCCGGAGCAACACCGCACGGUACUAUAACUUGCUCGGUUGUACCAUAGGUGGCAAGGACAUGCGCGGCAACGUGUAUGCAAGAUAGAUGUUCGCUCACGACAAAAUCCGGCUUAUAGGUCGAGUCCACCC
Molecule: RNase P RNA, 342 nt
Filed under: Clostridia bacterium
Lineage: Bacteria; Bacillati; Bacillota; Clostridia
Description: RNase P RNA component class A
Rfam family: Bacterial RNase P class A
About the family: Ribonuclease P (RNase P) is a ubiquitous endoribonuclease, found in archaea, bacteria and eukarya as well as chloroplasts and mitochondria. Its best characterised activity is the generation of mature 5'-ends of tRNAs by cleaving the 5'-leader elements of precursor-tRNAs.
Source: RNAcentral